This 17392-nucleotide long non-coding RNA is filed under the name Brassica napus (rape). RNAcentral describes it as "long non-coding RNA (BNAP_LNC020127)". Lineage: Eukaryota; Viridiplantae; Streptophyta; Magnoliopsida; Brassicales; Brassicaceae. The record is from RNAcentral.
GGGCUUACUUCUCUCGAGAGAGUGGGAAAACAAUAUUUGACUAAGAACCAUUUGUCUAGCUUCUCUAAGAAAAUGUUCCAAUCAGAAAAUAUACUAGUUCCAAACUUGUAAAAAAAAUUUAACUAAUAGUCAGCCACAAUGCAAACUUUUCAGCAUCAUCUGGUGAUCAUAGAAUAUUUGGGUUCUGUUGAUUGACAUUCUUCCCCUUCUAGUCAGGUUGGUUCAGGAUGAGAUAAAAAUCCAACUUUUCCCAAUUAAAAAAGAAAUUAAAACUGACAUAAGUAAAGGUAAUAAAUAGUUACAGCGCCAUGUCGAGAUACCAGCUUGUGCAAUUGUAUGUCUAAUAUCUUCUUGUUCAGAACCAGCCUACACAGAAGAAAUAGAAGAGGCAGAUCAAUAAAAGAUUAGUUUUGCAAAAAUCGUAACUUUCAAAUAAGAACUUUCAGGUGCUUGAUCCAGUCACCUGAAUAAUUAUCUUUUUGGAAAGGAUGUCUUUCCACAAUAGUACAGUUCCUCAAGAGCACCAGACAUGCUUACUAACUUGAAAAGUCUCCUGCAAACCAAAAAGAAUUAAGAGUGUUCAUAAUCCAAAAAGAGUAUAUCUCAGGCUAACCAAAAAAAGAAUUCAUCUCAUACUUGUCAUCAGGAACAGAAACUCUACACUUUGCAUCAUUAGCAAAGAAAGAGCGAGAAACAUGAGUAAGAUCAUCAUGAAACCAUACAUUUUAACCAAUUAAACUACAGAUUAGUGCAAGUUGCUCUCUGGGAAUGAGCUUGACUGAGAGAAACAUUGGAUCAUGCAUGCUGCUGCUAAAUCAGCUUUGACUUCUUCAUGCCGAUGCUUGAAUUCUGGGAGACAGAGAAACAUGUUCAGUACCAACAUUAAAGGAGUCAACAACAUAAGCUCACGACUGGCAUCGUGAAGCAAGGGAUAUUGUAAUAUAUAAAUAUAUACUGUCAGAUACUAACUCAGGACUGGAAUGGAUACAAAUGGUGAUAGUACUUGGAUUUUCCUUGUUAACCUCAAGAUUGACUUACGCAAGAUUUCAGAUAUUCACCUAGUUGAAACUUUGAUGUUGAUAAGUUAAGAGUAGAAAUUUGCCAUAUAAAUUUUCUCGUGAAGCAAGCUGAGUCUUUAGUUUCUUAUCUUCAAUUACUACAGAACAGGAAGAAACAAUCAACAUUUGUCCAAAAAAAAAAGAAAAGAAGAAGAAACAAUCAGCGUAUGCAUUUCCCAACUAAAAGCCACAAGCAUUAACAUUAUGUAAAUACCUCUAAAUUAUCUCCUUCUCCUGAAAAAUAUUUCUUCCCUAAGCCUCCAACUCAAACUCGAUCUCCUGCAUACAAAUUUAAAGCCAAGUUCUCAACUCUACUGAAACCCACAAACCAAUAUAGUGUUUUUAGAUUCUAACCAACGAAGGAGGUACCUACACAUCAGGAUGACCUUCUCCAUGAGAUUGCUACCUUCUGAAGCGGCAUCCAUCUCGAUCCUUGCAAGACCUCCUUAUAACCUAAACAAAUUAAAUAUAGUGUCAGAUCAGAAUAGUAUUCCGGAAGUUAUUCGAUACCUAAUGCGAGAUCCAAAUAAAAAUCGAUGACAAAGAGCAUAAGAAUAAGCUAGCGAAAGGAAAACAAAUCUCAAGCUCUAUAAGCCAAAAACCUAAGCGUGAGAAAAACUGAGAAUUAGAUUCGGCCAUCACUCGAUUUAUAUGUUAUGGGUCAUAACGUUAAUCAAUUAAUUUAUGCAAUUAACUGUAUAAGAAGCGGUUAUGAAUUCGCAGGGAAGGAAACCAAGAGAUUCAUCGGGAAGGAGAUGAAGAGAACGGUGGUGAAGGAAUAAAUAGACAUUGCAGUAUAGUACUCCCUCAUUAGUUGAUUUUAUUUGCUGAGGUGGACACCCUCUCUACUCCUCAUAUGACCCUUUUAGGAUUAGUUAGAUUCAUGUUAAGCACAUCAAAAUUUGUAUAAUAGUUUUUUGAUGAUCUUUAAUGAGUUUUGUAAUUUAUUAGCAGUUUAAUUUAUGUUGGAUAUAUACCAUCAAAGUUCUGUGGAAUAUAUACUUUCAUGGUUCUCAUGCAGACCUCGAAGGAACUGAUAGCCGAUUUGUCCAGAGAAACUCAGUGGCCCUCGCUUUCGUCAGCCAACUGUGGUCCAUCUCGGCGUCGUCAACCUGUUGCAAGGGCAAUCAACGCUUCGAAGCCUUCUCCGCAUAAUAGCUACUCCUCGAGUGUAACUGCCAAGGUACCACAAGGUAUUUGUGAUAAUGAUCCUGAGUACCCUUGGGCUUCAAAAAUGGAGAAAUCUGCAUAAGAUCACCUCGCCUGAGUUUCUCGAGGAUGGUAUGCCAAAGGUACGUAUUCCUCGCCACGUCUUACUGGAAGGAUUAGAGAACUAGAAGGAAUUUGUAAUUGGUCAAUUCUAUCGGUGCUCUGCCCCUGCUUCUGGCUUAAUUCAAUAUGUUGUUAGUAGAAUCUGGGGAACUAGAUGCUGGAUUUACACUCGUGAGAUAGGAAACAAUGCUUUUUUGUUUCACAUUCCGGAUGAGUUUACUCGUAAGUGGGUAGUUCAGAGAGGUAUAUGGCAUGUGGAUGAUUGUAUAAUGUUUGUAUCUACUUGGGAUCCUAAGGGUACUAUCACUGCCCUGAGAAAUCUACAAUCCCGGUUUGGCUUACUCUGAAAGACAUUCCCCACCAGCUUUAUUCCAAGAAAGGUAUAAGCUGGAUAGCUUCCCGUAUAGGGGCACCGAUGCUCACUAGUAAGCCUUGGCUUGAUCCUAUACUGAUGGGUGAGGCAAAAAUUCUGGUUGAAGUUAAGUUGGAUAGACCAUUUCCGCAAAGAGUAGCACUCGAAGAUGACAGUUGUUUAAACUGAGACUGUCAAUAAACUAGUAAAGAGAAGAGACGAGUUCUCGUCGGUGGGUCAAGACAAAGACGUGUUUUAUUAGAUCAAUGAGUCGAAACCGAGUUACAAAAAGGGGAAGAGAACAGAGGAAAAAGUCCGGCGAAGACAAAUUCGUCGGACCGUACAAGUCGGCGAGAUGUAAGAUGUAAAACCCUAAUUCUAGCCGAAAGUGAGUGUAGUAAUUUGCGGAUCCCCUCCUUGUUGCCUUGUCUCCUCCUUUUAUAAGUGAAUGCUCGUUGACCUAAUGUGUCUUGUCUCGAUGGGCCUCUUCGAGUAGUUGGGCUGACUCGUCGGGCCGUUGUGUCAGGUCGACGAGCCGAUGACGUUUAGUCAAUCACCUCAUUGACUGAAAGUAGUCUGAGCCAAGCUGAACACCGGCUUUCGAGUCGACGAGCCGAUCUUCUGUGUUGUAAUCAUAUGUCUGGGGAAUCGUCUUGCGGGCCUUUUGGGAGGGCUAAGCCCAUACCCAACAGUAAGUCCCCCCAGUUCGCUGAUGAGUAGCGUAGCCGACUCAGCGAAUUUGAUAGUAGGGUUUGCGAGACAAUUAUCUCAAAUUUGUGAUUUCGAUCGACGAUCGACGAUCGACUCCUUGACUAUCCAAUCGACUCCUCGACUAUCCAAUCGACUCCUCGACUGCGCAAUGGACUUUGUAUGCUUCGCUGGUGAGUAGCGUAGCCGACUCAGGGUUCUCGAGAGAAUUAUUCCAAUCGACUCCUCGACUAUCCAAUCGACUCCUCGACUACCCUGUCGACUCUUCGACUAUGCAGUAGACUUUGUGUGCUCGCGUUCGAGGAUCUGACUGAUCUGAUUCUGAUGAUGAUUUUCUUUUAUUUAAACCGGUGGUUAGUUCCGGUUUUGAUUGAACCGAUUUCGGUUCCCCUCGAGAAGCUGAAAGUCGCGACGUUUGGUGAGCUUCACGCGCUUUAAUAGGCCAACACUAGGCCCAUCUAGGUCUAAUGAUGACGCCUCGGGGUGCGAGGUGCUCCUCCCCCUAUAAAUACCCCUCUUCCUUCUUGUUUUCCCUACUCUUCAUCCGGCUCAGGUACUUUCUCUCUCUAACUCUUUCCUUCUCUCUCUAACUUUGUAGUCUUAGAUCUGAGAAUGUCAUCGGUCGGUAAGGGUAAACUUUCUAGGGAACAGAAAGGGAAAGCCGCGGUGGGUGCGACCGAAUCGAGUCCCGUACGAGUCGUCGAGUCGAAUUCCUCGCCCGAUUUUGAGACGAUUCAUCGUGAAGCCAUGAUGGAUACGGAGAAUAUGGACACGCCCCAGCGAGUUCUCGUUGCUGAUUCGGCGCGGCAGCUCCGCGAGGAGAGAGAAAACGUAACAUUAAUUUCAAGAGACGGUUAGGGUGGAGCUGAUGUCGGAGAGGCUUCCCUCCCCGAUUUCGUUCCGUGUCGUUAUCAUCCGGGGGGAAUCUUCGAGGAUCUCCCGGCCUUGGCGGUCGAGCAGAUGCGUCCUUCUGUAGUAGAGGGACAGUCGUGGGAGAAUAUCGAGGAGACUCGUUCGACUCCUAGUAGCGUGAAAGCUUUAUUGAGGGAAUGCGAAGGAACCGGAGUGACCUUCUUGAUCCCAACUAGAUCUCAGAGGCCGUGGUCCCCUCCUUUGGGAUUCAGUGCGUCUAUGAGUCAUACUUUCAGGAUGAGACCAAACUUUGGUUUCCAAUUCCUCGACUAAUCACAUCUUACGCGAGACAUCGUGACGCGGCGAUAAGUCAAUUCUUUAAUGGUGCGUUCUGUACCUCAGUGGCAUUGAUGGUGACUGCGGCGGAGAUCGACGUUUCGAUGAGUGUUCGGACACUCGAGGAGUUGACCUAUACGAAGUCCAAGGGCGAUGGUUUAUUCUCGAUCCAGAUGAGGCCCAACUACAACGUGAUCGUCGAUCAUCCGUGCAGGACGGCGCACUGGCAAUGUUUCUACUUUUAUGUCAAAUCUGAUGGUUUUGCCUUCGAGGAGCCGCCCGACGUUUCCUUUCGAUUUUUGUGGAAUCAUAAACUCGGUAGAACGCUGUUGUCAGCUCAUUGACUGGCUCUUUUCCUUGUUGUCUGACGAGUUUUCGUUUAUUUGCAGCUGAUCAUCUGGACACGGCCUCUUAUCCGGAAGAUUUCGUCUCUAAUGCUCGUGAAGUCGUUUCGCGCGUCCAAGUGAGCUGGAAGGAUAUCACCGUCGAGAGGAUUAAACAAGUGCUUGACAGAAUCUCGAGGAGUAAGUUUCCUCUUGCGAUCACUUGUUUUCUUCCAGCUCAUGCCAGUUCCGAGAUUUAUCUGAACCAGGUUGCUGAUCUUUUUCAGGGGAUUGGAGGUCUGAUCCACUACCUUUGAUUACCGAUAACAAGCGGCAUUUUUCGAUAUUUAGUAGUGCCGAGCAAAAGAUCAUCAACGCGGCCAGGGAAAUGAAAGAGGCAUCCUCUGCGGCUCCUAGUGAGACAACUCUUAGUGGGACGACUCCUCGCGAAGAGCCUUCUCGCGUGAAGACUCCUCGUGGAGCAGUUCCUCCCGCUCCUCUUCCUCUUGUGAUUUCCCUCGGACCGUCCGAAGGCCCGGAUAACGUCGACUCCUCGAGGGGGGAUCUCACAUUGAUCUCUGAACGAGAGAUUGCCGAACAGUCGGUGACUGGUGGUAAUAAGAAGAGAUCUGCUCCUGACUCCUCUGCAUCGGCGGCUUCUCAAGCGAGGUCUGAAUCUGAUGGUCCUCCAAAAAAGAAAAAGAAAAAGGAGAGGAAGAAGAAGAAAUCUGUUGAGGGACAGUCGGAGCCUGCUGAAGGCGCCGAGACUUGCGAGACCGUUAUCGAGAAAGAUCUUCCUCGCGAUGCUGCAGCUCGGAGAAUCGUCGACUCGGACAACUCCCCGUCCAUCUCUCUGAAGAAGAAGAAAAUUGCCCGCAGUCAUGAGUCGUCUACUCCGGCUGCGUCUGCUUCUGCUGCGAAGAUUUCUCCAGCUGCACCUCGGACUCUCGUUGAAGGCGGUUCGGCCUCUGUGGAUCGCCGAGUUAAGUUUCAUGACCGCGUGGAGUUCAAGUAUGUCGGCGAGACUCCUCUUUCCUUCGCCCCGACUGACUGUGCUGAGCUUGUUCGACAAAUUAAGGGUGGUCGCAAGGACUUGCCCGCUGUCAAGGACCUUAUUUUCAAGGACGCGUACGUCGACGCGGCAAGGACUAAAAUUCUGGUAAGAAUUACUCCCCUUAUUUUGUAUUUUUCAUGUUCCUGGUUCUGAUCUUUUCUUUCGUUUAUGUAGAGCGACGGGAGCAUGAACUACGUCAUCGAGUUAUACGACUCAGCCCUUAAGGAGGCCACGUCCAAGUUGAGGCAUGCCGACAAGCUCGCUCGAGAGAAGGAUGCAGCUAUUGACCGCAAGACGAAGGAAUUUAAAGCGACAAUUGAUAAGGCCGCGGAGGACCGGGCUCAACUGAUCGAGAGGAAGAAGGCUCAGAAGGCUCGUUUCCUGGAGAAAUUCGGAGAGUUGAAGGAUAAAUUUGAGGCUGCGGGUGCAAAGGUACGAGGACUCGAGGAGGAUAAGAAGGCUUGGUUAAGAGAGAAGGCAGCUAUGGAGGAGAAGAUGGUGUCCACCGCGCUUAGGCACUUGAAAGAGGUCAACAGACUGAGGGACUCUCGAGGUUACGAGGUUACUCAUGAGCGGUUCCGUGUACAAACGGCCAUGAUUGCUAAGAGCAAUAAGCGUUUUUCCCAAAUUCGAGAUCUCGAGAAGCGUUGUAGCGAGUUCGAAACAGCCAGAUCCUUGCAGAGCCAAGCUUUUGGGACAAAGAAGUGUCUCGAAACGCUUAAGGAGAGCGGGAUCGACAUUCCGCAGGAGAGGAUUGACUUGUUCGCCGAACAAGAGAAAGAGUACGAGGUUGCGGCUGGACGCCUAGCUGUCGGAGGGAUCCCGGAGGAGCUUCUCUGUCUUUCUCCUCUUCAUCUCCGAUCUCCUUUUCUGAACGAGAAUGUGUGGGCGACGAUUGACCCAUAUGGAUCAAAUGCGGGCCUGAUUGAUGCUGGGACCGCUGCUUUCCUUCAAACUCCCAGUAGUUCUCAAGGAGAUCAUGCGAACGAAUGAUCUGUAAAACCGACUGGGAGAGAGCUCAGGGAAUUAUCUCUUCAAGAAGGUGGGAUCGUUGGCGAGGUCGUAAGGCUCGAGGGUACGACCGUUGCAUCUGCUUUGGAUCCGACUACGCUCUCCACCAGCCUCGUCGCGAUGAAGAUCCGCUGGUCCCGGUUGCCGAGACGGAGACAGAGCCUGUCAAUCUACUUGAACUCUCAGAUUCUUCGACUGAAGAAGAGGGUGGCGAACAAUUGGAGAAGACCGAUUCCGGCUUAGUCGGUGACUCGCAAAAUGAAGAGGGAGCAGUUAUCGGAAACGAUAAUCUGCCAGUUCUGCCAGCGGAUGUAAUCGGGGAGGCUUCGGAUCAGCUCGCUGCUUAGGUCGUCGAGGGGGGCUCCGACCAUGUCGUGGACUAGUUUAAUAUGUUGUUGUUGUUUUCCUUAGACUUUUGGUUUUUAGCCCUUGGAGGCUUUUAUCGAUGUAAUAUCCGGAUUUACUUUGCUUUUGUAGCUAUCCGUCGUUUCAGAAUUUCAGUAGGUUUAAACGAUUUUGGUUUGGCAAUCUGGUCGACGUCUUGAAUCAAACCGAAGAGUCGAUGACUCAGCUUUAUCAAAUUUUGACACAUCAUGCCGUCAGUUCGAGUCCUCAAUAACAUAAAUUUUCGAGUUUCGAAGACAAUCGUUUAUACUUUCGAGCGACAACAGUUCUCAAAUCGAUCUUUAAGUAAUCCAAAAAAAGAAUAUUAGGUUGGCCAAGUCCGGCUUUAGAGGAUUAUAAGAUGAUUGAAAGUUGUCGUCUCGAUCGCAUGGGUCGGGACCGCGAUGCGACCGAAGAAUCCCUCGAGCAUGUGUCUGAUCAGGACAUGCCCGUUAGUGGGUGCGAGUGCUAGUACGUUUGUCCGAGAGACAAGGUCGUGCUCAUGCGUAAGCAUCGCUUAAAACAAUUCGCGCUCCUACUUGUUGGGAGAUUGAUUUUGUUAUAGCUGGACCCGGUAAAGGGCUGUCUACGUACCUCUAGGAGAGGAUCAAGCCAUUCGUAGUUCGUUUUGGUUAGUAAAAGUGGCAUUGGAUGCGCAUUCACUUUUUUUUUUUUUUUUUUUUUGUGGGGGAAGGGAAAAAGUGCGCCUUCACUUUUUUUUUUUUUUUUUUGGGAGUGAAAGUGACAAGUGUGUCAUUCACUCUUCGAGUGUUCGAUCUUCGGACUUGUGCCUAAGAGUAGUAUCGUCGUAGGUGCAUCGAGUUCCACGCUCUGGGGACGGGUUUGCCGGUCGACGUCUCGAGUCGGUAGACUCCUGGUUUGACGACUUGAGAAAUUUUGUACGGCCCUUCCCAGUUAGUUCCGAGCUUGCCUGCAUUCAGCUCCUUGGUGUUUUUGAACACUUUGCGUAGUACUUUGUCGCCCAGUUCGAGAGGUCGAGACUUGACCUUCUUGUUGUAGUAACCUUCGAUCUGAUGCUGAUAGUUCUGGAUGCGGAGUAGUGCUUGGUCGCGGCGUUCUUCUAUAACGUCCAGGGCGUCGAAGAGCAUACCGCUGUUGAGCUCGACGUUUUGUGGCAUCCUCGAUCUUCGCAGGCUGGUUACGUUGACUUCGGCGGGAGCCAUGGCUUCGACUCCAUGUGCCAUCGAGAAAGGAGUCCACUUUGUUGCUCCUCGAGGAGUUGUUCGAUGUGACCAGAGGACACCGUCGAGUUCGUCUGCCCAAUAUCCUUUUUUGAGAUCGAGGCGCUUUUCCAAACCGUCUAUAAUGAUUUUGUUGGUCGCCUCGGCUUGGCCGUUGCUCUGGGGGUAUCGCGGACUUGAUGUGUUGAGUCGGAUUCUCCAUCUCUCGCAGAACUCUUGAAAUUUGUUCGAUAUGAAUUGGGAGCCGUUGUCAGUCACUAUCUCGUAAGGUAAGCCAUGGCGACAGAUGAUGUUCUUCCACACAAAUCGUUGAACCUCUUUUUCUGUAAUGCUUGCGAAAGCUUCCGCCUCAAUCCAUUUCGUGAAGUAAUCUGUCAAGACCAGGACGAAGCGUUUCUGUCGAGAACUCGGCAUCGGGCCGAUUAUGCCCAUCCCCCAUCGCAUGAAAGGGUAUGGAGCUGUCAUCGUUCGCAGCAACUGUGUCGGGGAGUGGAUCGUUGAGGCAUGUCGCUGGCACAGAUCGCAUCGCUGGGCGUAAGCUUCGCAGUCUGCAUUCAUUGUUGGCUAGUAGAAACCGAGACUUUUUACUUUUAAAGCAAGUGCUCGACCUCCAGAAUGAUUUCCUGCGGCGCCUUCGUGCGUUUCAGCCAUGACUAAAUGCGUCUCUUCGCCAUUGAUGCACUUCAUAAGUACCUUGGUUGCGGUCCAUCGGUGGAGUUCUCCGUCGAGGACGACAUAGUGGGCACUCCGCGUCUUGAGUCGUCGUGCGAUCCAUUUCUCGGGAGGUAACUUCCCAUCGACCAGAUAGUCAAUAAGUUCAGUUCUCCAGUCGUUGGUGUCGUCUGGCGCCUCUUCGAGGACUUGGUUCGCGGCUGUGGCUUCGGUUAUUGGCGCUACGAUGGCGGUUUCGAUGGGAGUCAGGUCGAUGCUUGGUUUAUUGAUCUUGUGGAUAGGGAUGGUACGUUUCACCUGAUCGCGCAACCUGCUACCUAGGGCAGCAAGAGCGUCAGCGCAUACGUUCUCCCCCCUGGGAACUUUGGUGAGUUCGAAGAAUUCGAAAUCUUUGGCAAGUGUUUGAACGGUCUUAAGGUAUGCGUCCAUUCAUUCGUUGCGGGCGUCGUAGUCACCACUAAACUGACUGGUUACGAGUUGUGAGUCGCAGUAUGCGCUGAGGCGUUUCGCCUUGACUGCCUUGGCGAGUCUUAGUCCUGCGAUCAAUGACUCGUACUCUGCUUCAUUGUUUGAAGCGGCGAAGCCGAAGCUGAACGACUGUCUUAUUAGUUCUCCUGUCGGGGAUUGCAGCUGCACUCCUGCCCCUGAUCCUUUGUUUGUCGACGACCCAUCGACGUGGAGUAUCCAAUUUUGACUCGGGAGAAUUAGAUCUUGCUCGAGCUCUGGUGCAAGCUCGAUGAGAAAGUCUGCGAGGACUUGAGAUUUCGCAGCUGUUCAAUUUUUGAAGACAAUGUCGUGCUCGCUGAGUUCGAUAGCCCACUUCGAUAACCGUCCAGAUUGGUUUGUAUUCUGCAUUACCGUUCGCAAUGGUUGAUUUGUCAAUACUUCGAUUGUGUGCGACUGGAAGUAGGGGUGCAGUUUUCUCGCCGACGUUACAACGGCGAGAGCCAUCUUCUCAAGGGUGGGGUACCGAGUUUCUGGAUCAGUCAUGCGUUUGCUCGUGUAGAAGAUAGGCUUCUGUUCUCCUCGAUCCUCUCGGAUGAGGACGCUGCUGACCGCGGUUGUUGAUACGGCGAUAUAGAGUGAGAGUGUAUCGUCGGUUUCGGGUUUGGAUAAAACAGGAGGAGUCGUAAGAUACUCCUUGAGUUGUUUGAACGUCUCUUCGCACUUCUCGUCCCAGAUGAAGCGUUUGUUUCCUCGCAACAACUCGUAGAAAGGAAGGCAUUUGUCCGUGGAUCUUGAAAUGAAACGGUUCAAGGCUGCGAUCCUUCCUGUAAGUCGUUGGACUUCUCUGCUGGUUUUUGGGCUCGGAAGAUCAAGUAUGGCGGAGAUCUGUUUAGGGUUUGCCUCGAUUCCUCGCUGGGUGGACGAUGUAUCCUAAAAACUCUCCUGAGGUAACGCCAAAAGUACACUUGGCUGGGUUGAGUUUCAUCCCAUAUUCAUUCAACGUCUUGAAACAUUCUUUGAGAUGAUCUAGAUGGUCCGUUGCGCGGAGUGAUUUUACCAGCAUGUCGUCGAUAUAGACUUCCAUCGUGCUCCCUAAUUUGUCGGCGAACAUUCGAUUGACGAGUCUUUGAUAAGUCGCACCCGCGUUCUUGAGACCGAACGGCAUUACUUUAUAACAGUACGUCCCUCUAUCAGUGAUGAACGCCGUCUUCUCUUGAUCGUCCGGAUGCAUCAUGAUCUGAUUGUAACCAGAAAAUGCGUCCAUGAAGGUCAGGAGUUCAUUCCCGGCAGUCGACUCGACGAGUCUUUCGAUAUGCGGGAGGGGGUAACUGUCUUUUGGGCAUGCUUUGUUUAAAUCGGUAAAAUCGACGCAAACGCGCCACUUCCCGUUCUUCUUCUUUACGACGACUGGGUUAGCUAGCCACUCGGGGUACCGCACCUCGGUGAUUGAGCCAGCUGCGAGGAGUCGCUAAACUUCUUUGUUGAUAGCUUUGCUUCGGUCGUGACCUAGCUUUCGUCUCUUCUGGCGAAUCGGUUUGAUGGUGGGAUCGACAUUCAACUCGUGGGAUGUGAUGGCGGGGUUUAUUCCUUUCAUAUCCGACGUCGCCCAAGCAAACGUUGAAGCGUUCUCCUUGAGAAAGUUGAUGAUUGCGCGUUGCAUCUCUUCGUCGAGGAAGGCUCCGACUCGGACUACUUUGCUCUUAUCAGAGUCGUCGAUGGUGACUUCUAAAAUCUCGUCUUUUUGUGGUUGGAUUUGCUUUGCUAUCGCGUUGAUGCGAGGAGUUGAUUGUUGCAUUUUCACCGUUGCGAUGAGUAGUUCGCGAGCGGCCUGCUGGUCUCCGCGAAGCGUCUGCACCUCACCGUUUAGUCCUGGAAACUUCACGCACUGAUGAUAUGUCGAAGACACUGCCUUAACGGAAUGUAACCAGGGGGUUCCGAGGAUUGCGUUGUAAGGAGCUUUCGUUCGGAUGACUGAGAACUUGACCGUGCGUAUCACUCCGCAUGCAUAGACGGGGAGUUUGAUCGUACCAAUCAUUGUCUCAGAGGCACCGUUGAAUCCUGUAAGGGAGCGAGAUGAUGGCUUCAUGUCGCGCAAGUCGACUCCCAUCUUAUCGAGCGUAUCUCGAAAGAUUAAGUCGACUGAACUGCCUGUGUCAAUCAACACUUUAGCGACGUCACACUUCGCAAUACCUACCUCGACUAGCAGUGGGUCGUUGUGAGGUAAAUGGACGCCGAUGGCAUCGUCUGGCGAGAAAGUGAUUGAGGAAUCGUGUUCGGGUUUCGAUGGCCAUUUCUUCGAGGUUACUGCCUGUCGUCGAUGGUCCUUUACAGACCGGAUGGAAUCACCGCAAGGAGGUGAGCCGCCCAUGAUUACGUUUAAGAAGUUAGACUCGACGACUCGUUUAUUUCUCAGUCGAGUCCUCGAGUCGCUAGGCAAGUCUUCGAUGAUAGGUGGAUUUUUUACGUUGGGCGAGUCCUCGACAACGGGUGAGUCCUUGACAACAGAUUUGUGUACGUCCUCAUUCUUGGAUCUCGCCUCCUCGAUUCUCCGUCGUAAGUCCGAAUGUUUUGGUCGGUUGAGCUUGAUUCUGAAAUCUUCCGACUUUGAGUUGAGCUUUUCGCGAAGGUCGAUGACUCGUGGCCUGAGACGGGAUUGAGCAUUCAAGUCCUCAAUUUUCUUAGCCUUGGAUUUUUCGAUGACUGAGCGGAGAUUUUUGUGUGAGUCAUAUGUGCGAUCAGGUGUUUGCGACUUUCGCCUGAGCUUGUUUCUUAAGUCGUUUGACCCUUCUGACCCUAUGCUCUCGUUCGUUCGUUUGCUGGAAUACUGGCGUGAGUCAUGGAUCUGUUUAUCCUCUUCUUCGUCUGAGGAGGAAUUGGGUCGUUCGAGGAUGACUUGUACACGUCGACGAUUACGCGGUUGCUCCUCGUCGACUUGUACGUCGCCGUCUUCUUCUUCGUGCUCUUCUGGCUUGUCAUCCUGCCGGUUUCCAGACUUAUCCUGAUUCUUGUGAGUUUUCUUUUCUUUGUUUUUGCUCCAGCUCUUGGUGCCGUUGGGCCUAGGCUUAGGGAGUUCGACGUUUGACGUUCCCUUUUCGUACGACGAGAAGAGGGAGUCUAACAAAUGCCUGCAGUUCCUUGUAUCAUGUGCCUUAGACUUGUGGAAGCUACACCACAUAUUUGACUCAGCUGGUCCAGGACUUGACGCCGGAGGUGUCGAAGAGGUUUGCGGCUUUUCGUCGUUCUCCCAGACAUUCCAACCUUUUUUGCGUACAACGACAGUGGGCUGUGGGGACGCGUUUUUGUCUUCAACCACGUAGACGAAACUUUUCGGCUGGUUAGGUUUAUUGCCUGAGGUGUGCUGACGAGGUUCCUGGCGUGCCUCGGGAGCUUUGGGGACAGUUUCCGGUUUGGUUGCCGUGUUCAAUUUCUUAAGUAUCGCAGCUGUGUCUUCUUCCAUUCGGAUGAAGUUGUUUGACCUGGCGAUUGCGUCCUGGAGCGAAGUGGUCGGAUUUCUGUAGAGAUCCUCGCGAAACAGGGACUUGAAAUAGAGAGUGUUCAUCAAUGCGUCGACGGCAACACUGUCGGGGACUUGGACUUUUGAGGCGACUGCUUUGAAUUUUUCCAUGAAGUCGCGGAGGCUUUGGCUCGGUCCUUGAGAUAGAUUCCAUAAAUCGGACAGAGUUGCUCCUUGUCUUGUAAACAUGAUGUAGUGCUUGAGGAACGCAGUCGUCAGAUCGUGGAAAUUGUUGAUAGAGUCGCGCUCCAAUCCAGUGAACCAUCCGAGGGCUGGUCCUUGAAGACUUUCCACGAAGAGUCGACAGUAGCCAGCGUCUCUUUCUUCUUCAGAGAAGUUGGUUCGACCCAUCGUGAUGUUGAAAGUAGUGAUGUGGUCGGUUGGGUCUACCUUUCUGGCGUAAGUCGGGAGGCGAAUUUUCUCGGUCGGACGGUAACGUAAGUCGGUGAUCUUCGGGGAAAAUGGGGUUUUAAAGGUUUCGGCGAGGACACGUUCGAUCAGCGGUGCUGAAGUAGGUCUUUCGAGCAUUCGGUCUUUCAUGUCCAGGACUGAUUGCUUAAGCUCAGUGAGUUCCCGGACGGUAACGAGGUCGACGCCGCCGGGAGUUUGGACCUGUUCGACACUCGUGUUUGCUGGGUUUCCGGCACUGGCUGUUCGGUAAGUGUCGAACAGUUGUUUUCGGACCAUCGUAGCCGGAUCUCCAUUCGUCGGUGGGUCAAGACAAAGACGUGUUUUAUUAGAUCAAUGAGUCGAAACCGAGUUACAAAAAUGGGAAGUGAACAGAGGAAAAAGUCCGGCGAAGACAAAUUCGUCAGACCGUACAAGUCGGCGAGAUGUAAGAUGUAAAACCCUAAUUCUAGCCGAAAGUGAGUGUAGUAAUUUGCGGAUCCCCUCCUUGUUGCCUUGUCUCCUCCUUUUAUAAGUGAAUGCUCGUUGACCUAAUGUGUCUUGUCUCGAUGGGCCUCUUCGAGUAGUUGGGCUGACUCGUCGGGCCGUUGUGUCAGGUCGACGAGCCGAUGACGUUUAGUCAAUCACCUCAUUGACUGAAAGUAGUCUGAGCCAAGCUGAACACCGGCUUUCGAGUCGACGAGCCGAUCUUCUGUGUUGUAAUCAUAUGUCUGGGUAAUUGUCUUGCGGGCCUUUUGGGAGGGCUAAGCCCAUACCCAACAACAGUUAGGUCACAAAGCACCUAGAUGCCUUGGUCUCCCUCCAGUCCCAAUCAACGCUGUAUCUGAAAACUCUUAUGCUGCAUAUCAGUCUCUCAAAGUUACUAAAUCAGCUCCACUAGAAUCUUAGGAAAAUCGAGAUACUUUAUCUUUUGAUUCUCAAGGUUGUAUUCUUCUUGAUCAUGAAGGAAGCGGCCUCCCUAUAAAUGAAAACUCAGAGAUAGGAGAACCAAGUAGAGAAGUCACCACAGUCCCCUCUGCUUCAGUUGUGGCUGUGAACACUCCUACAGGCUCCUUCACUGAAAAGGUUCAUGUGUCUUGUACACCUUCUGAGACUGUUCAAGGUACUCAUGUUACUGCUGUUACUGAUGAAAAGGAACUCCCACCAUCUACCGUAGUUUUUGUCUCUCUUAAUGACGAAACCUGCGAACAAUUAGAUGUCGCAGAACCUGUUGACUCCUCAACACAGUCUGCACCACCAACUCCAAAGGCUCCUUCAGGGAAGUUUGUUGGGAAUGUUGAUAUUGUGUUUGAUAACUCUAACUCCUCUCCGUCUUCUGUACCAUUUGUUCAUGACAACUUAUUUGCGAUGUUGGAUAGUGCUGACGACAGUGAACCAUCGAGUGUCCCACUAGCCAAGGAACUUGUCUUCUCAAAUUCUCCAUUACCAUUUACUUUUGCCUCUAAUGAUACUUCCCCUACACAUCUUCGAGACCCGUUUGUAGAUGAUGAAUCAACACUAAGGUCACGAGGCGGUAGGCCAUUAAAGCCAUCUCAAAGGCUUAAAGAGAUGGAAUGGUUUACUGUUACAAGGAAAGGAAAAAGAGGCCGAGGAAGAGGUCCUCAUCACUAGGUUCACAACAAAAUCUUUGUAAGUGUUGCUUCCAUUAUACUAUGUUGCUUUCGUGUCUCUCUUGACUUUAAAACUGUUGCAUGUUGUUUUAUCUUUGAACUCUUAAGAGCAACAUUAUCCAUAGGACCAAUUAGUGUGUCCUUAGGUUAUUUUAAUGUUAUUUUGAUGUUAAGGACUUAGGUUAGGGACAACCUUAAAAGCUAAGAUUAUUGGUAGGACUUUUAGUGGUAUCUUAGUUAAUUAUUUUUUUUUAUAAGUUUUAACAUUUUAAUGACAUAUAAAUGAUAAGUUUUGAAUAAAACAAUAAAACAUUUAAAAUAGAAAACACAAACAGAAGAAAAUUACAAAGUUGGAAAAAAAAUUAUAAAUAAAUAAUAGGAAACAAACAUUUUAUUGAAUUCACACAAACAUAAACAUUAUAUUAAGUUGGAAGAUGUCCAAAUUUCUCUCAUAUAUUUUCAAUCAAAUCUUCUUUUAAUUGUUCAUGGACAUGUGGAUCCCGAACUUCUUUGCGACGACCAAUUCUAUCGCCGUGUUUUGUAGACUUUUUAACGCCAAAUGUAAAAUCAUGAUCUUGAAAUUCCUCAACAGUGUCUGCAUCUCGUUCAUCUUCGACAAUCAUAUUAUGGAGUAUGAGACAUGCUCUCAUAAUAUUUGAUAUUUUGUUUUUAUCCCAUAAAUUAGAAGGAUUUUUAACAACAGCGAACCUAGCUUGCAAAACUCCAAAGGCACGAUCAACAUCUUUUCGAACGAAUUCUUGAGUUUUAGCAAAUAAAGAAUGUUUGGGACCUUGUGGUAGUCGGAUAGAUUGAAUAAAAGUCGCCCAUUUUGGAUAUGACCUAACCAUAAACUACUAUACGAAAGUCAAAUCAGAGUUAUUACACAUCUUGUCACCAUAAUGACCUAACCUAAAAAAUAAAACAGGAUCUGGUUGAGAACAAACUAGAUUAUCAUCUCACUUCAUCCGAGAAUACAUGAUUUGGUUGCAAACAGACAUAGUUCAUGCCCACGAGUAUUAUCAUCUCACUACAUCACACAAUUCAAUUCUUUUACUUUCCUACAAGUGCAUUAACUAACACAACCAACCAAGCCUACUAAAGUCUAAUCAGAGUUCAUGCCUACAAGUAUUAAAUCCGACUUAUCAAUUCAUGCCUACUACCAAGUAUUGUAGUUCAAGUGAAAGUGAAUUACCUUGUAGUUUGGAUGAAAUGCUUGUUCUUUAAAUUUGUUUAUCUUCCGGGUUAUUGACAGCCCCUCCAACCUAACCUAAUAGCUCACUCACAAUCAAACGAAAAAAGCAUAUAUCAGUUUCAACAUUCAAUCAAAAAUAACUCACACUACAAAACCUUCAAUCAAAAAUCAGUCACACUAGAAGCACACACACGAUUAUAUUUGCAUAAAACAUUCAAUCAAAAAUCAUCACACUCCAAACGUAAUGCUUUAGCAAACGUUGACUCAAAAAUAAUCACACUACAAAACCGUAAUGCUUUUGAAAACAACAUUCACGAAGACGAUGAGAAAUAGCAACUCAUAUCACAAAGACGAUUUCAAAUAUUUAAAACCCUAUAGCUACAUCGACAACACAUUUCACAAACAAGAUUCCAAAUUUUGAAAACCCUAUAGCUACAACGACAAAAGAAUCCUAAUCCAAGGCAGUAGAUCGAGAACGAGAACAAAAAAAUAUAAAUACUCUAUAAGCUCGAGGAACACAGACCUUCUUCUCCUUCGUAUUCAGUGAAACACUGUCGGUGAGACCACGGAUCCUCUCUGCUGCGUUCGAUAUCAAGUAGAGGAGUACUGUCGAGACCGAUGCGCCGUCCAGACAGAACCGCCGCGAGAGAGAAGCAAAGUCGCGAGAGAAUCGCCGUGGAGAUAGAUCCGCCGACGGGAGAGAGAACUGAUCGACGUCGCGAGAGACCCUCUGGGAAGAUAGAAGCGGUGGAAGAGAUGGCGCGAGAUAAACGGAAGAGAUGGAAGAAAUCGCACUCUCGAUCGCCUUGGAGCAACACGCCGUGAGUUCACCGACACGAAAUGAAGGACGGAGUCAACGAGAUUUGUCCUAGAAAUCAUCGGCCAUUCCCAUCGCGACAUGUGCGUGUUAAGGACGUCCCCAACACAUCUUAACUAAGGGACGUCCCACGCUUAAUUCACUCUUUUUGAUUUUCAUUUUAAUUGCAUUAUGUUAAGG